Molecule: ribosomal RNA, 490 nt
Filed under: uncultured bacterium
Lineage: Bacteria
Description: partial 16S ribosomal RNA
Rfam family: Bacterial small subunit ribosomal RNA
Source: RNAcentral
AUUGAACGCUGGCGGCAGGCCUAACACAUGCAAGUCGAACGGUAACAGGAAGCAGCUUGCUGCUUUGCUGACGAGUGGCGGACGGGUGAGUAAUGUCUGGGAAACUGCCUGAUGGAGGGGGAUAACUACUGGAAACGGUAGCUAAUACCGCAUAACGUCGCAAGACCAAAGAGGGGGACCUUCGGGCCUCUUGCCAUCGGAUGUGCCCAGAUGGGAUUAGCUAGUAGGUGGGGUAACGGCUCACCUAGGCGACGAUCCCUAGCUGGUCUGAGAGGAUGACCAGCCACACUGGAACUGAGACACGGUCCAGACUCCUACGGGAGGCAGCAGUGGGGAAUAUUGCACAAUGGGCGCAAGCCUGAUGCAGCCAUGCCGCGUGUAUGAAGAAGGCCUUCGGGUUGUAAAGUACUUUCAGUGGGGAGGAAGGGAGUAAAGUUAAUACCUUUGCUCAUUGACGUUACCCGCAGAAGAAGCACCGGCUAACUCCGUG